UACAGAGGUCUCGAGCGUUAGGCGGAAUCACUGGGCUUAAAGCGUGCGCAGGCGGUUCGUUAUGUCCGUUGUGAAAGCCCCGGGCUCAACCUGGGAAUGGCAAUGGAAACUGGCGGGCUAGAGUGUGGCAGAGGGGGGUGGAAUUCCGCGUGUAGCAGUGAAAUGCGUAGAGAUGCGGAGGAACACCGAUGGCGAAGGCAGCCCCCUGGGCUAGCACUGACGCUCAGGCACGAAAGCGUGGGGAGCAAACAGG
This 253-nucleotide ribosomal RNA is filed under the name uncultured bacterium. RNAcentral's name for it is "partial 16S ribosomal RNA". It matches the Rfam family "Bacterial small subunit ribosomal RNA", at positions 524 to 776 of the family's 1533-position model. The record is from RNAcentral.